This 488-nucleotide ribosomal RNA is filed under the name uncultured bacterium. Its description in RNAcentral is "partial 16S ribosomal RNA". It matches the Rfam family "Bacterial small subunit ribosomal RNA", at positions 28 to 507 of the family's 1533-position model. The record is from RNAcentral.
GAUGAACGCUAGCGGCAGGCUUAACACAUGCAAGUCGAGGGGCAGCAUAAUGGAUAGCAAUAUCUAUGGUGGCGACCGGCGCACGGGUGCGUAACGCGUAUGCAACCUACCUUUAACAGGGGGAUAACACUGAGAAAUUGGUACUAAUACCCCAUAAUAUCAUAGAAGGCAUCUUUUAUGGUUGAAAAUUCCGAUGGUUAGAGAUGGGCAUGCGUUGUAUUAGCUAGUUGGUGGGGUAACGGCUCACCAAGGCGACGAUACAUAGGGGGACUGAGAGGUUAACCCCCCACACGGGGACUGGGACACGGACCAGACUCCUACGGGAGGCAGCAGUGAGGAAUAUUGAUCAAUGGACGCAAGUCUGAACCAGCCAUGCCGCGUGCAGGAUGACGGCUCUAGGAGUUGUAAACUGCUUUUGUACGAGGGUAAACGCAGAUACGUGUAUCUGUCUGAAAGUAUCGGACGAAUAAGGAUCGGCUAACUCCGUG